UACGAAGGGGGCUAGCGUUGCUCGGAAUCACUGGGCGUAAAGCGCACGUAGGCGGACUCUUAAGUCGGGGGUGAAAUCCUGGAGCUCAACUCCAGAACUGCCUUCGAUACUGGGAGUCUUGAGUUCGGGAGAGGUGAGUGGAACUGCGAGUGUAGAGGUGAAAUUCGUAGAUAUUCGCAAGAACACCAGUGGCGAAGGCGGCUCACUGGCCCGAAACUGACGCUGAGGCACGAAAGCGUGGGGAGCAAACAGG
This 253-nucleotide ribosomal RNA is filed under the name uncultured bacterium. Its description in RNAcentral is "partial 16S ribosomal RNA". It matches the Rfam family "Bacterial small subunit ribosomal RNA", at positions 524 to 776 of the family's 1533-position model. The record is from RNAcentral.